CCUACGGGUGGCAGCAGUGGGGAAUAUUGCACAAUGGGGGAAACCCUGAUGCAGCGACGCCGCGUGAGUGAAGAAGUAUUUCGGUACGUAAAGCUCUAUCAGCAGGGAAGAAAAUGACGGUACCUGACUAAGAAGCCCCGGCGAACUAAGUGCCAGCAGCCGCGGUAAUACGUAGGGGGCAAGCGUUAGCCGGAUUUACUGGGUGUAAAGGGAGCGUAGACGGCAGCGCAAGUUUGGAGUGAAAUCCCAUGGCUUAACCAUGGAACUGCUUUGGAAAUUGUGCAGCUAGAGUGCAGGAGAGGUAAGCGGAAUUCCUAGUGUAGCGGUGAAAUGCGUAGAUAUUAGGAGGAACACCAGUGGCGAAGGCGGCUUACUGGACUGUAACUGACGUUGAGGCUCGAAAGCGUGGGGAGCAAACAGGAUUAGAUACCCGAGUAGUC
Molecule: ribosomal RNA, 440 nt
Filed under: uncultured bacterium
Lineage: Bacteria
Description: partial 16S ribosomal RNA
Rfam family: Bacterial small subunit ribosomal RNA
Source: RNAcentral